UCCGGCCACCCCAUCUUUCUGCCCAUCCCCCUCAACUCGUCUGCAAUAAACGAUAAGGGAAAUAAUGACGAGCACUAAAUGUGACGUUGAGUUGGCAUUUACAAAUGAUUUGCAAAACAACUCCCUAAUCAACCCACGGCACACUACCCAGACCCUAUAUGGUGGUUGUCUAAAAAGAUAGAGCCCAUACUCUUCAGGGGAGCACGCUGGGAGGAGGGGCGCCUCGGGAAAGCAAGGCGCUCCAGUCCCCAAGACCCCAGGUUGUCACCAGAGGAUCCUGACGCGCAAGCAGCCGCGUUGUGUAAAAUCCACAAGACUUGUCACCCCAACUUCCCACUCCUAAAACCUAAGUGGGGGAUGAAAAGGAUCCUAGGGUGACAGAAGAAAGUAGAAGCUCUAUCUUCUGUGCUUGGGAUCCAGAAAUAAAAGCAAUGAACAGGGGAGACGGAGGCAGACGACCGGGCACGCGUCGGAUACGGGUCUUGCGGAAGAGUGGGAGGUAGAGUUGACAGCUGUGCAAAGUCUGGGGAGAGAUCUGAACAGGAGAUAAGAAUGCAGGACACCUCAAUAUCUCAGGUUUUUGAUCACCAUUUACUUCCUCUCCUUCAGUUGCAGUUAUAUUCUCCCUUUCCUUCAAGAUAAGGAAACUAAUGCUGAGAGGUUUUGUAUGUAACUUGCUCAAGAUCACAUAGCUCGUAAGUACAAUCUGAAUUCAGUAAAGUCCAUUUCUUUCCCCCGCUUCCCAGGAUGACCUAAAUUAGAAUGAAUAUAUUCUAAAGGAAUUUUGGCAUGCUACACGAUCCCAUUUAACAUAGCUAACAAUUCAACCUGAUCCUUAUCAAUGGACUUUAGAUUUUAAUUCUAUAUCUUCAUUAAAGACAAACCAAUUAAUGGUUAUAAAUGCUUCUCAAGGACAUAUUAUUUUUUUUAACAUCGGUAUUGGAGUAUAAUUGCUUUACAAUGUUGUGUUAGUUUCUGCUGUAUAAC
This is a long non-coding RNA of Aethalodelphis obliquidens (Pacific white-sided dolphin), 987 nucleotides long. RefSeq lists it as uncharacterized. The transcript has 4 exons. The record is from RefSeq and is a predicted model, not a curated record. NCBI's taxonomy places the organism in Eukaryota, Metazoa, Chordata, Mammalia, Artiodactyla, Delphinidae.